RNAcentral lists this ribosomal RNA (32 nucleotides) under Leucomeris spectabilis. RNAcentral's name for it is "partial 18S ribosomal RNA". Lineage: Eukaryota; Viridiplantae; Streptophyta; Magnoliopsida; Asterales; Asteraceae. The record is from RNAcentral.
CAAGAAUGCUACCUGGUUGAUCCUGCCAGUAA